RNAcentral lists this unclassified non-coding RNA (342 nucleotides) under soil metagenome. RNAcentral describes it as "partial contains 5.8S ribosomal RNA, internal transcribed spacer 2, and large subunit ribosomal RNA". The stretch from base 1 to 120 matches the Rfam family "5.8S ribosomal RNA", at positions 35 to 154 of the family's 154-position model. The record is from RNAcentral.
GAUGAAGAACGUAGCGAAAUGCGACAAGUAAUGUGAAUUGCAGAAUUCAGUGAAUCAUCGAAUCUUUGAACGCACAUUGCGCCCGCCAGCACUCUGGCGGGCAUGCCUGUUCGAGCGUCAUUUCAACCAUCAAGCCCCCAGGGGCUUGUGCUGGGGCCCUGCGGCUGCCCGCAGGCCCUGAAAACCAGUGGCGGGCUCGCUAGUCACACCGAGCGCAGUAGCACAUCUCGCUCAGGGCGUGCGGCGGGCUCCUGCCGUGAAACCCCCCACUGUAACCCCAAAGGUUGACCUCGGAUCAGGUAGGAAUACCCGCUGAACUUAAGCAUAUCAAUAAGCGGAGGA